UGCGCUGACGCUUUCAGGUUACAGCACAAACUACAUUAUUUCCUCCAGUGACAGGAGAUCCUAUGCUGGAAUCUGGACAGCAUGUAUUCAAAGGUGAUUGUCGCUAGAUAGACCACCACUUGGAAAGAGUUGAAGGCAGUAAAGACUGGCUUCACGCCAGCAGGGCGCUGAUGACCAUCUGUUUUGUUUGUCAGUUCUUCAUGAUUCUGCUGACGACAAUAGCGCUACGCUGGAAACCGACGAAGUUCAUGAGCUGGAUCACAUCGAAGUUGGCCAUCUGGUCAGUAUUGGUUGGAAUUACUGGAGUAGCUGUCGCAGUUUCAAAAGGCAUUGGCGUCAUGGAAGAUAGAUUUCAUGGUUCUUCUGGUUUGGACUGGUCCUUCAUCUUGUUUAUCGCCGGACAAUGUUUAUUCUUUGUGGCUUACAUCGGCCACCAUUUAGAUUAAAAACAAAAUGUGUCAAACUUAAAGAUAUGACAUCUUUUGAUAAUGUCCAUAGUUACCAUAACCAUAGUUUAAUAUAGGCAAGGGGAGAUAACUUGGUUAAAGAGUCGUUCUAUGAUCGACAAUUAAAAGACCGAAGCCUAAAAGUAGCUUUCACUUAAUGUAAUUUUGCUCUGAUGUAUUGGUACCAUGACCUUUAACACUUUGAUGUAAACUCUACCGCGAAAAGUGACUUUUCAUUAACUCUAGAAAUACACAAAACAUAAAAUGUGCCUUCCUAUAACAAUCCUAUUUGAAAGAAAGACAUACAUAUGUUAUACUUAUUACAUACUGUAAUCAAUAAU
Biomphalaria glabrata is the source of this 787-nucleotide long non-coding RNA. RefSeq lists it as uncharacterized. Lineage: Eukaryota; Metazoa; Mollusca; Gastropoda; Planorbidae. The record is from RefSeq and is a predicted model, not a curated record. The transcript has 3 exons.